GGGUUGUGAGGUUAAGCGACUAAGCGUACACGGUGGAUGCCCUGGCAGUCAGAGGCGAUGAAGGACGUGCUAAUCUGCGAUAAGCGUCGGUAAGGUGAUAUGAACCGUUAUAACCGGCGAUUUCCGAAUGGGGAAACCCAGUGUGUUUCGACACACUAUCAUUAACUGAAUCCAUAGGUUAAUGAGGCGAACCGGGGGAACUGAAACAUCUAAGUACCCCGAGGAAAAGAAAUCAACCGAGAUUCCCCCAGUAGCGGCGAGCGAACGGGGAGCAGCCCAGAGCCUGAAUCAGUGUGUGUGUUAGUGGAAGCGUCUGGAAAGGCGCGCGAUACAGGGUGACAGCCCCGUACACAAAAAUGCACAUGCUGUGAGCUCGAUGAGUAGGGCGGGACACGUGGUAUCCUGUCUGAAUAUGGGGGGACCAUCCUCCAAGGCUAAAUACUCCUGACUGACCGAUAGUGAACCAGUACCGUGAGGGAAAGGCGAAAAGAACCCCGGCGAGGGGAGUGAAAAAGAACCUGAAACCGUGUACGUACAAGCAGUGGGAGCACGCUUAGGCGUGUGACUGCGUACCUUUUGUAUAAUGGGUCAGCGACUUAUAUUCUGUAGCAAGGUUAACCGAAUAGGGGAGCCGAAGGGAAACCGAGUCUUAACUGGGCGUUAAGUUGCAGGGUAUAGACCCGAAACCCGGUGAUCUAGCCAUGGGCAGGUUGAAGGUUGGGUAACACUAACUGGAGGACCGAACCGACUAAUGUUGAAAAAUUAGCGGAUGACUUGUGGCUGGGGGUGAAAGGCCAAUCAAACCGGGAGAUAGCUGGUUCUCCCCGAAAGCUAUUUAGGUAGCGCCUCGUGAAUUCAUCUCCGGGGGUAGAGCACUGUUUCGGCAAGGGGGUCAUCCCGACUUACCAACCCGAUGCAAACUGCGAAUACCGGAGAAUGUUAUCACGGGAGACACACGGCGGGUGCUAACGUCCGUCGUGAAGAGGGAAACAACCCAGACCGCCAGCUAAGGUCCCAAAGUCAUGGUUAAGUGGGAAACGAUGUGGGAAGGCCCAGACAGCCAGGAUGUUGGCUUAGAAGCAGCCAUCAUUUAAAGAAAGCGUAAUAGCUCACUGGUCGAGUCGGCCUGCGCGGAAGAUGUAACGGGGCUAAACCAUGCACCGAAGCUGCGGCAGCGACACUGUGUGUUGUUGGGUAGGGGAGCGUUCUGUAAGCCUGUGAAGGUGUACUGUGAGGUAUGCUGGAGGUAUCAGAAGUGCGAAUGCUGACAUAAGUAACGAUAAAGCGGGUGAAAAGCCCGCUCGCCGGAAGACCAAGGGUUCCUGUCCAACGUUAAUCGGGGCAGGGUGAGUCGACCCCUAAGGCGAGGCCGAAAGGCGUAGUCGAUGGGAAACAGGUUAAUAUUCCUGUACUUGGUGUUACUGCGAAGGGGGGACGGAGAAGGCUAUGUUGGCCGGGCGACGGUUGUCCCGGUUUAAGCGUGUAGGCUGGUUUUCCAGGCAAAUCCGGAAAAUCAAGGCUGAGGCGUGAUGACGAGGCACUACGGUGCUGAAGCAACAAAUGCCCUGCUUCCAGGAAAAGCCUCUAAGCAUCAGGUAACAUCAAAUCGUACCCCAAACCGACACAGGUGGUCAGGUAGAGAAUACCAAGGCGCUUGAGAGAACUCGGGUGAAGGAACUAGGCAAAAUGGUGCCGUAACUUCGGGAGAAGGCACGCUGAUAUGUAGGUGAAGUCCCUCGCGGAUGGAGCUGAAAUCAGUCGAAGAUACCAGCUGGCUGCAACUGUUUAUUAAAAACACAGCACUGUGCAAACACGAAAGUGGACGUAUACGGUGUGACGCCUGCCCGGUGCCGGAAGGUUAAUUGAUGGGGUUAGCGGUAACGCGAAGCUCUUGAUCGAAGCCCCGGUAAACGGCGGCCGUAACUAUAACGGUCCUAAGGUAGCGAAAUUCCUUGUCGGGUAAGUUCCGACCUGCACGAAUGGCGUAAUGAUGGCCAGGCUGUCUCCACCCGAGACUCAGUGAAAUUGAACUCGCUGUGAAGAUGCAGUGUACCCGCGGCAAGACGGAAAGACCCCGUGAACCUUUACUAUAGCUUGACACUGAACAUUGAGCCUUGAUGUGUAGGAUAGGUGGGAGGCUUUGAAGUGUGGACGCCAGUCUGCAUGGAGCCGACCUUGAAAUACCACCCUUUAAUGUUUGAUGUUCUAACGUUGACCCGUAAUCCGGGUUGCGGACAGUGUCUGGUGGGUAGUUUGACUGGGGCGGUCUCCUCCUAAAGAGUAACGGAGGAGCACGAAGGUUGGCUAAUCCUGGUCGGACAUCAGGAGGUUAGUGCAAUGGCAUAAGCCAGCUUGACUGCGAGCGUGACGGCGCGAGCAGGUGCGAAAGCAGGUCAUAGUGAUCCGGUGGUUCUGAAUGGAAGGGCCAUCGCUCAACGGAUAAAAGGUACUCCGGGGAUAACAGGCUGAUACCGCCCAAGAGUUCAUAUCGACGGCGGUGUUUGGCACCUCGAUGUCGGCUCAUCACAUCCUGGGGCUGAAGUAGGUCCCAAGGGUAUGGCUGUUCGCCAUUUAAAGUGGUACGCGAGCUGGGUUUAGAACGUCGUGAGACAGUUCGGUCCCUAUCUGCCGUGGGCGCUGGAGAACUGAGGGGGGCUGCUCCUAGUACGAGAGGACCGGAGUGGACGCAUCACUGGUGUUCGGGUUGUCAUGCCAAUGGCACUGCCCGGUAGCUAAAUGCGGAAGAGAUAAGUGCUGAAAGCAUCUAAGCACGAAACUUGCCCCGAGAUGAGUUCUCCCUGACUCCUUGAGAGUCCUGAAGGAACGUUGAAGACGACGACGUUGAUAGGCCGGGUGUGUAAGCGCAGCGAUGCGUUGAGCUAACCGGUACUAAUGAACCGUGAGGCUUAACCUUACAACGCCGAAG
RNAcentral lists this ribosomal RNA (2926 nucleotides) under Shigella sonnei. RNAcentral's name for it is "bacterial LSU rRNA". It matches the Rfam family "Bacterial large subunit ribosomal RNA". The record is from RNAcentral. Lineage: Bacteria; Pseudomonadati; Pseudomonadota; Gammaproteobacteria; Enterobacterales; Enterobacteriaceae.